GACGAACGCUGGCGGCGUGCUUAACACAUGCAAGUCGAACGGAAAGGCCCUGCUUUUGUGGGGUGCUCGAGUGGCGAACGGGUGAGUUACACGUGAGUAACCUGCCCUUGACUUUGGGAUAACUUCAGGAAACUGGGGCUAAUACCGGAUAGGAGCUCCUGCUGCAUGGUGGGGGUUGGAAAGUUUCGGCGGUUGGGGAUGGACUCGCGGCUUAUCAGCUUGUUGGUGGGGUAGUGGCUUACCAAGGCUUUGACGGGUAGCCGGCCUGAGGGUGACCGGCCACAUUGGGACUGAGAUACGGCCCAGACUCCUACGGGAGGCAGCAGUGGGGAAUAUUGCACAAUGGGCGGAAGCCUGAUGCAGCAACGCCGCGUGCGGGAUGACGGCCUUCGGGUUGUAAACCGCUUUCGCCUGUGACGAAGCGUGAGUGACGGUAAUGGGUAAAGAAGCACCGGCUAACUACGUG
Molecule: ribosomal RNA, 466 nt
Filed under: uncultured bacterium
Lineage: Bacteria
Description: partial 16S ribosomal RNA
Rfam family: Bacterial small subunit ribosomal RNA
Source: RNAcentral